UACAGAGGGUGCGAGCGUUGUCCGGAAUCACUGGGCGUAAAGGGCGCGUAGGCGGCCUGGUCAGCGUGCGGUGAAAGCCCGGGGCUCAACCCCGGGUCGGCCGUGCGAACUGCUAGGCUCGAGCACUGUAGAGGCAGGUGGAAUUCCGGGUGUAGCGGUGGAAUGCGUAGAGAUCCGGAAGAACACCGGUGGCGAAGGCGGCCUGCUGGGCAGUGACUCGCAAGAGUCAAUAGCUGACGCUGAGG
Molecule: ribosomal RNA, 245 nt
Filed under: uncultured bacterium
Lineage: Bacteria
Description: partial 16S ribosomal RNA
Rfam family: Bacterial small subunit ribosomal RNA
Source: RNAcentral